UGUAUAGAUCUUGUACCAAAAGAAUGGUUAUUAAAACUUAAACGCACAUGGUUUUGCAAAUAUCCGCCAAAAUUAGAGUACGAUAAAGUACAAGAAUGGGGUAAAGAAAAUAAAACUCCAGAAUUAACAUGGAAGAAAUAUCCUGUUAAAUUAAUGAAAAAUGCUAAUAAUUUCGAUCAGGGACUACGUCGUAUGACACGCAUUACAGAAGACACUGUUGUACUUUCAAGUGAAGUAUCUGAUAUAGAUGCUGAAGAAUUGUCAGAUACAGCAUCAGAUAAAUCAAGUAAUAUCAGUGAUUUAGAAUUUCAAUCGUUCUCAAGUCAAAAAAUUGUAAAAGAAAAAAUUACGGAAAUAGAAGAAGAUAAUGACGUUCCAAGCAGUUCAUCAGAAUCAGUUACUUUUAAAAAUAACAAAAGUAAAAAAAGUAACAAGCGUAAAGCGACUCUCUCUCUCUCUG
This is a non-coding RNA of Linepithema humile (Argentine ant), 460 nucleotides long. Lineage: Eukaryota; Metazoa; Arthropoda; Insecta; Hymenoptera; Formicidae. The record is from RefSeq and is a predicted model, not a curated record.